UUUUGUCUUGUGGGAAUGGGGUAAAGGUCACUGAAAUCGUUAUAUCUCAUUAAAAGUGUUCCUGCCUGAAAUCCAUUCACAGAAAAAUCGAAAGGGUCAAAUUCAAUUGAGACAACACUAUCAAUGGUAAUUUUUAUGACAAAAACAAUUUUUUUUUAUAAGUUUCAGGUUAUGUUCGACAUUGUUUAAUGUUAGGAAACUUAGUAAAAAUGCAUGUUCACAACCUAUAAUAGGAAUAUGAUGACCAUUUCCAACAAUAAUAUUA
Molecule: long non-coding RNA, 265 nt
Filed under: Lathyrus oleraceus (garden pea)
Lineage: Eukaryota; Viridiplantae; Streptophyta; Magnoliopsida; Fabales; Fabaceae
Description: Pisum sativum (pea) long non-coding RNA (PSAT_LNC015303)
Source: RNAcentral